This 440-nucleotide ribosomal RNA is filed under the name uncultured bacterium. RNAcentral describes it as "partial 16S ribosomal RNA". It matches the Rfam family "Bacterial small subunit ribosomal RNA", at positions 338 to 795 of the family's 1533-position model. The record is from RNAcentral.
CCUACGGGAGGCAGCAGUAGGGAAUAUUGCUCAAUGGGGGAAACCCUGAAGCAGCAACGCCGCGUGGAGGAUGAAGGUUUUCGGAUUGUAAACUCCUUUUGUUAGAGAAGAUAAUGACGGUAUCUAACGAAUAAGCACCGGCUAACUCCGUGCCAGCAGCCGCGGUAAUACGGAGGGUGCAAGCGUUACUCGGAAUCACUGGGCGUAAAGAGCGCGUAGGCGGGAUAGCAAGUCAGAUGUGAAAUCCUAGGGCUUAACCAUAGAACUGCAUUUGAAACUGUUAUUCUAGAGUAUGGGAGAGGUAUGUGGAAUUCUUGGUGUAGGGGUAAAAUCCGUAGAGAUCAAGAGGAAUACUCAUUGCGAAGGCGACCUGCUAGAACAUAACUGACGCUGAUGCGCGAAAGCGUGGGGAGCAAACAGGAUUAGAUACCCCAGUAGUC